This 404-nucleotide ribosomal RNA is filed under the name uncultured bacterium. RNAcentral's name for it is "partial 16S ribosomal RNA". It matches the Rfam family "Bacterial small subunit ribosomal RNA", at positions 28 to 526 of the family's 1533-position model. The record is from RNAcentral.
GAUGAACGCUGGCAGAAUGCUUAACACAUGCAAGUCGACUGUGGCGGACGGGUGAGUAACGCGUAAAGGACUUGCCUAACAGAUAGGGACAACAUUUGGAAACGAAUGAUCAUCCCUGAAACUGUGAGAGAGCUUUGCGUCCCAUUAGCUCGUGGGAGAGGUACCGGCUCACCAAGGCGAUGAUGGGUAGCCGGCCUGAGAUGGUGAUCGGCCACAGGGGGACUGGGACACGGCCCUUACGCCUCCGGGAGGCAGCAGUGGGGAAUUGUGGACAAUGGACCAAAGUCUGAUGCAGCAAUUCUGUGUGCACGAUGAAGUUUUCGGAAAGUAAAGUGCUUUCAGUUGGGAAGCAGUACCAACAGAAGAAGUGACGGCUAAAUACGUGCCAGCAGCCGCGGUAAUAC